RNAcentral lists this transfer RNA (87 nucleotides) under Candidatus Saccharimonadota bacterium. Its description in RNAcentral is "tRNA-Leu". It matches the Rfam family "tRNA". From Rfam's summary of the family: Transfer RNA (tRNA) molecules are approximately 80 nucleotides in length. Their secondary structure includes four short double-helical elements and three loops (D, anti-codon, and T loops). Lineage: Bacteria; Candidatus Saccharimonadota. The record is from RNAcentral.
GGGCGAGUGGCGGAAUUGGUAGACGCGCGGGACUCAAAAUCCCGUUCCUUCACCGGAGUGAGAGUUCGAUUCUCUCCUCGCCCACCA